RNAcentral lists this ribosomal RNA (387 nucleotides) under Anodonta cygnea. RNAcentral describes it as "partial 12S ribosomal RNA". It matches the Rfam family "Bacterial small subunit ribosomal RNA", at positions 880 to 1504 of the family's 1533-position model. The record is from RNAcentral. Lineage: Eukaryota; Metazoa; Mollusca; Bivalvia; Unionida; Unionidae.
CUACGAGCGAAAGCUUAAACCUCAAACAAUGUGGCGGUGCUUUACUCCUCAUCAGGGGAUCCUGUGGCUUAAUUCGAUAAUCCACGAAAAUCUUAGCCAUUCUUGUACACAGCUUGUGUAUGGCCGUUUAUGCUUGCUCAUAGAAGAAACAAAAGGAAGCAAUAAGGUUAACAACCCAAAAAUUCAGGUAACAUACAGCCAAUGAGUAGCAGACCCAUGGGAUACAAAUAAACACACUAUCAAAUUUAGAACUUAAAACUUUAAUGAAGGAGGACUUGAAAGUAAGGUUUCAACUACACAAAACAAACCUGGACAAGAACUAAAGCGCGCACAAAUCGCCCGUCACUCCGACAAUAAAGUAGGAUAAGUCGUAACAGGGGGGGGGUA